UGGUUUCUGAGGUGUACGCGUUAUCUCGUCGUAUGGUUGACCGAACAAUUUUAAAAUUGGUUUUCUUAAGCACUUGUGGAUUGAAGCCUUUUACACGAAGGUAAUUGAAUCAAGUUAUUUGAAUACCACCUGCACUAUUCGCGGGUUCAACUACAGAGAUGAUUAACGGCACUACCGGAUAUUGA
RNAcentral lists this non-coding RNA (185 nucleotides) under Ligilactobacillus hayakitensis DSM 18933 = JCM 14209. RNAcentral's name for it is "Lactobacillus hayakitensis DSM 18933 = JCM 14209 6S / SsrS RNA". It matches the Rfam family "6S / SsrS RNA". Rfam says of the family: E. coli 6S RNA was the first non coding RNA to be sequenced, but its function was unknown until recently. It consists of 184 nucleotides that fold into an extended hairpin structure with a large single-stranded internal bulge. The 6S RNA specifically associates with RNA polymerase holoenzyme containing the sigma70 specificity factor. Lineage: Bacteria; Bacillati; Bacillota; Bacilli; Lactobacillales; Lactobacillaceae. The record is from Rfam by way of RNAcentral.